CGCGGUAAUACGUAGGGGGCAAGCGUUGUCCGGGAAUCACUGGGCGUAAAGAGUGCGUAGGCGGUGACGCAAGUCUGGAGUGAAAGUCCAGGGCUCAACCCUGGGAAUGCUUUGGAAACUGCGUGACUUGAGUGCUGGAGAGGCAAGGGGAAUUCCACGUGUAGCGGUGAAAUGCGUAGAUAUGUGGAGGAAUACCAGUGGCGAAGGCGCCUUGCUGGACAGUGACUGACGCUGAGGCACGAAAGCGUGGGGAGCAAACAGGAUUAGAUACCCUGGUAGUCCACGCUGUAAACGAUGAGUGCUAGGUGUUGGGGGGUACCACCCUCAGUGCCGAAGGAAACCCAAUAAGCACUCCGCCUGGGGAGUACGGUCGCAAGACUGAAACUCAAAGGAAUUGACGGGGGCCCGCACAAGCAGUGGAGCAUGUGGUUUAAUUCGAAGCAACGCGAAGAACCUUACCAGGGCUUGACAUCCCUUUGACGCCGGUAGAGAUAUCGGUUCCCUUCGGGGCAAAGGAGACAGGUGGUGCAUGGUUGUCGUCAGCUCGUGUCGUGAGAUGUUGGGUUAAGUCCCGCAACGAGCGCAACCCUUGACCUGUGUUACCAGCACGUAGAGGUGGGGACUCACAGGUGACUGCCGGCGUAAGUCGGAGGAAGGCGGGGAUGACGUCAAAUCAUCAUGCCCUUUAUGUCCUGGGCUACACACGUGCUACAAUGGGCGGUACAACGGGAAGCGAAGCCGCGAGGUGGAGCGAAUCCCAUAAAGCCGUUCGUAGUUCGGAUUGCAGGCUGCAACCCGCCUGCAUGAAGCCGGAAUUGCUAGUAAUCGCGGAUCAGCAUGCCGCGGUGAAUCCGUUCCCGGGCCUUGUACACACCGCCCGUCACACCAUGGGAGUUGGCAACACCCAAAGU
RNAcentral lists this ribosomal RNA (911 nucleotides) under uncultured bacterium. RNAcentral describes it as "bacterial SSU rRNA". It matches the Rfam family "Bacterial small subunit ribosomal RNA", at positions 516 to 1427 of the family's 1533-position model. The record is from RNAcentral.